This 253-nucleotide ribosomal RNA is filed under the name uncultured bacterium. RNAcentral's name for it is "partial 16S ribosomal RNA". It matches the Rfam family "Bacterial small subunit ribosomal RNA", at positions 524 to 776 of the family's 1533-position model. The record is from RNAcentral.
UACGGAGGGGGCGAGCGUUAUUCGGAAUUAUUGGGCGUAAAGGGCGCGUAGGCGGCUGUACAAGUCAAAGGUGAAAUCCCUCGGCUCAACUGAGGAACUGCCUUUGAAACUGUACGGCUUGAGGCCGGGAGGGGGUAGCGGAAUUCCCAGUGUAGCGGUGAAAUGCGUAGAUACUGGGAGGAACACCAGUGGCGAAGGCGGCUACCUGGACCGGUUCUGACGCUGAGGCGCGAAAGCGUGGGUAGCGAACAGG